UGGCGAACGGGUGAGUAACACGUGGGUGAUCUGCCCUGCACUCUGGGAUAAGCCUGGGAAACUGGGUCUAAUACCGGAUAGGACCAUGCUUUAGUGUGUGUGGUGGAAGGUUUUUUCGGUGUAGGAUGAGCCCGCGGCCUAUCAGCUUGUUGGUGGGGUAAUGGCCUACCAAGGCGGCGACGGGUAGCCGGACUGAGAGGUUGGUCGGCCACAUUGGGACUGAGAUACGGCCCAG
RNAcentral lists this ribosomal RNA (235 nucleotides) under uncultured Actinomycetales bacterium. RNAcentral's name for it is "partial 16S ribosomal RNA". It matches the Rfam family "Bacterial small subunit ribosomal RNA", at positions 96 to 334 of the family's 1533-position model. Lineage: Bacteria; Bacillati; Actinomycetota; Actinomycetes; Actinomycetales. The record is from RNAcentral.